GGAGAGAAAAAUACUAAAUAAAAAGAGAGAGAAGAAGAGAAGAAGAAAAGUUCUUCUUUCUUUCUUGAUGAGCUGGUUCAGAUCUUAUCGGAUCUGCGUGAAGGAGUUCGGUAGCGAUCAUCUUCUUCGAGAUCUAGAAAAAGAGAUGCAGAUCUAAGGCUGAGGAGCGAGAUCUACAAGGUGCUAGCACACCAGUGAUCUCGAUGCU
RNAcentral lists this long non-coding RNA (208 nucleotides) under Elaeis guineensis (African oil palm). RNAcentral's name for it is "long non-coding RNA (EGUI_LNC056216)". The record is from RNAcentral. Lineage: Eukaryota; Viridiplantae; Streptophyta; Magnoliopsida; Arecales; Arecaceae.